This 69-nucleotide transfer RNA is filed under the name Vibrio cholerae. RNAcentral describes it as "tRNA-Met". It matches the Rfam family "tRNA", at positions 9 to 71 of the family's 71-position model. Rfam says of the family: Transfer RNA (tRNA) molecules are approximately 80 nucleotides in length. RNAcentral also lists the same sequence under 1 other name. The record is from RNAcentral. Lineage: Bacteria; Pseudomonadati; Pseudomonadota; Gammaproteobacteria; Vibrionales; Vibrionaceae.
GGAGCAGCUUGGUAGCUCGUCGGGCUCAUAACCCGAAGGUCGUUGGUUCAAAUCCAGCCCCCGCAACCA